Molecule: ribosomal RNA, 775 nt
Filed under: uncultured Neocallimastigales
Lineage: Eukaryota; Fungi; Neocallimastigomycota; Neocallimastigomycetes; Neocallimastigales
Description: partial large subunit ribosomal RNA
Rfam family: Eukaryotic large subunit ribosomal RNA
Source: RNAcentral
CGUCUAUAUACGUAUAGCAUAUCAAUAAGCGGAGGAAAAGAAACUAACUAGGAUUCCCUCAGUAACGGCGAGUGAAGCGGGAAGAGCUCAAAUUUGAAAUCUUCAAGGUUCUACCUUGACGAAUUGUAGUUUAAAGAAGUGUUUUCUGUUGGAGUUUUGGUAAAAGUUCUUUGGAAUAGGACAUCAUAGAGGGUGAGAAUCCCGUAUUUGACCGUUACUUUCCAGCUGUGUGAUACACUUUCAAAGAGUCGGAUUGUUUGGGAAUGCAGCCCAAAAUGGGUGGUAAAUUUCAUCUAAAGCUAAAUACUGGCGAGAGACCGAUAGCGAACAAGUACCGUGAGGGAAAGAUGAAAAGAACUUUGAAAAGAGAGUUAAACAGUACGUGAAAUUGUCAAAAGGGAAGCGUCUGACACCAGUGUUGUUUUCUCGAAAAUCAAUUAAAAAUGGCGGGAUUUUGUGUUGUAUUGACUUUAUCAGCUUUCUGCACUUUUUUCCUGUCUUUUUUAAUGCACUUUUCGUUUAACAAGUCAACAUCAAUUUCUUUUGUUGUAAAAGGGUCAUUGGAAGGUGGCUUUCUUUUCGGAGAAAGUGUUUAUAGCCUUUGGCCUCUGCAAUCGGAGAGAUUGAGGUCUGCAGCGUAGAUCCUUCGGGGUUAGAUACAUUUGUGCUAAGCUAUAGCCUUUCAUAGACAACUUGUUGACUAUGAUCAGUCAUGUAGCUUACUCGCUUAUGUCAUUUUACCUACGCUUAGGAUGUUGAUCUGUAGUGCGUGCGC